Molecule: ribosomal RNA, 253 nt
Filed under: uncultured bacterium
Lineage: Bacteria
Description: partial 16S ribosomal RNA
Rfam family: Bacterial small subunit ribosomal RNA
Source: RNAcentral
UACGAAGGGGGCUAGCGUUGCUCGGAAUUACUGGGCGUAAAGGGCUCGUAGGCGGCCAACUAAGUCAUACGUGAAAUCCCUCAGCUUAACUGGGGAACUGCGUGUGAUACUGGAUGGCUUGGAUUUGGGAGAGGGAUGCGGAAUUCCAGGUGUAGCGGUGAAAUGCGUAGAUAUCUGGAGGAACACCGGUGGCGAAGGCGGCAUCCUGGACCAACACUGACGCUGAGGAGCGAAAGCCAGGGGAGCAAACGGG